RNAcentral lists this long non-coding RNA (213 nucleotides) under Panax ginseng (ginseng). Its description in RNAcentral is "long non-coding RNA (PGIN_LNC004165)". Lineage: Eukaryota; Viridiplantae; Streptophyta; Magnoliopsida; Apiales; Araliaceae. The record is from RNAcentral.
UCUAAUUGCUAAAUGAUGAUGUACAAAGCAUGCAUCAUGAUGGAUAGUAGUAGAACAUAUGCAAUAAAUGCCUAAGCAUCAUCAUAUAUAUGCGCGAAUAUUACAUCAGUUUUUAUAUCAACAUCAUCUAUAUACACAUAAAAAGUCGGUCAAAAAUAUAAGGAGAAUAUAUAAGUAACCAAGGAAUGAAUGGUCUCCUGCGAUAUGAUUGGC